This 63-nucleotide transfer RNA is filed under the name Tridacna gigas (giant clam). RNAcentral describes it as "tRNA-Lys". It matches the Rfam family "tRNA". Rfam says of the family: Transfer RNA (tRNA) molecules are approximately 80 nucleotides in length. The record is from RNAcentral. Lineage: Eukaryota; Metazoa; Mollusca; Bivalvia; Cardiida; Cardiidae.
GGUGCGGUAGCUUAUAAAAAGCGUGGGGCUUUUAACCCCACGAAGUUUAAAAAACUCGCGCUU